GCGCAAGGACCAUCCCCAAAGUCGCUAUCAUACACAGGGAAUGUUCUAGCCAUCAGCGGGUGCAGCCCUGUGGAUGUUAGUGGCAAUGAGCGAAUCAGGAAAGGAGAAAAGGGGAACACAAGGAGGAGUCCUUGGCAUCUGGUACCGGGCACUGCUCACCCCCGCUGGAAGCCACAGUCCCUGCCCAAAAGACUGAUUGACUUUUAUUGACUUUAACAUCUGAGACUGUAAUUUAAAGGCACAAGAGGAG
Molecule: long non-coding RNA, 250 nt
Organism: Mauremys mutica (yellowpond turtle)
Lineage: Eukaryota; Metazoa; Chordata; Testudines; Geoemydidae
Exons: 3
Source: RefSeq, a predicted model, not a curated record